This 504-nucleotide ribosomal RNA is filed under the name uncultured bacterium. Its description in RNAcentral is "bacterial SSU rRNA". It matches the Rfam family "Bacterial small subunit ribosomal RNA", at positions 9 to 526 of the family's 1533-position model. The record is from RNAcentral.
GAGUUUGAUCCUGGCUCAGGACGAACGCUGGCGGCGCGCCUAACACAUGCAAGUCGAACGAGCGAGAGGAGGUUUACUUUCUCAAGCGAGUGGCGAACGGGUGAGUAACGCGUGAGGAACCUGCCUCAAAGAGGGGGACAACAGUUGGAAACGACUGCUAAUACCGCAUAAGCCCACGACCCGGCAUCGGGUAGAGGGAAAAGGAGCAAUCCGCUUUGAGAUGGCCUCGCGUCCGAUUAGCUAGUUGGUGAGGUAACGGCCCACCAAGGCGACGAUCGGUAGCCGGACUGAGAGGUUGAACGGCCACAUUGGGACUGAGACACGGCCCAGACUCCUACGGGAGGCAGCAGUGGGGAAUAUUGCACAAUGGGGGAAACCCUGAUGCAGCGACGCCGCGUGAAGGAAGAAGUAUCUCGGUAUGUAAACUUCUAUCAGCAGGGAAGAUAGUGACGGUACCUGACUAAGAAGCCCCGGCUAACUACGUGCCAGCAGCCGCGGUAAUAC